UUAACAACUCGUGAUAACGACUUGGCGCGGGCGUUCAUUUGUGCGGCGAACAAUUAAAUCUCGCUGCUGCUGCCGCUGCUGCAGCCUCGCGCGCGCGUUAAUGAAACACGCGCCGGCCUUCGUGAAUGAACUCGACGGAUCUAGACGCGAUAAUAGGACGGUCGAAGAGAAACGAGAAGAUUUUAAUCUUGCGGAGCGGCGUGUUGCUCACACCAUCCUCGCCGCCGCGCUAUUCGUCGACGGAAGAAAUUCAUUAAGGCGAUUCGGUCUACGCUGUCACCCCGGCACGUUCGCUGUUGGCGAAGCGUCAUCGGACGGCGACGAAUUAGCGAGUGUCGGUGGUGCAAAACGCGUGGAACGAGGUGGUAGCUGUCGUCGUCGGCUCCCCGCCGGUAUAUCCACGAUCUCUCGAAAUCUCCCCUGUCAUGAGCGUGCUGAUGUACGUGGUCCCAAACGAACAGCGGGAAUCGCCGUGGGAAGCUGCGAGACGAAACGCCGUAAUGGCACGUACGGAGGUUGAUUUUGUCGGCCGGGACACCGCGAAACUCUUCAACGAUCGGAAUACAAUCGCCUACGAGAUCAAUAACAACGAGACCUAUCUGAACAACGAAACUCUGCACUACAACGUGUCAUUGAACGAAGAUUACAUCUUUGACAGAACCGACGUGAAAGUAAUCUUCAUCACUCUGUACACCAUCGUAUUCGUCUGUUGCUUCUUCGGUAACCUGAUGGUGAUCUUCGUGGUGACGUUUUCCCGCCGGUUGCGCAGCAUCACGAACUUCUUUCUGGCUAAUCUGGCGGUCGCGGACUUCUGCGUGGGUAUAUUCUGCGUCUACCAGACACUCACCAACUAUCUGAUGAACAGCUGGCAACUGGGCGACUUCCUCUGCAAAGUGUAUAUGUUUGUGCACGCGCUCUCCUACACGGCGAGCAUACUUAUCCUAGUGGUAGUGUGCACGGAGCGUUACCUGGCCAUCGUUCAUCCCAUCAAGUGUCGGUCCAUGUUGACUAGAAGUCGCCUCCGGAUGGUGAUAGGCGUGGUGUGGAUCUUGGCGGCCGUUUACGCCUCGCCGAGAUUCUUCUACGUCGAGACCAUCAGCAAUCGUCUCAACACCGGCGACGUCGACAUCAUCUGCGUGGCCAACAUCAAGAAGCACAACAAGAACGUCCUGGACGUGGUGAAUCUGGUCUUUCUCUACCUCCUGCCGCUCUUCCUCAUGUGCUGCUUGUAUACCAGAAUCGCCGUGGGUCUUUGGAGAAGCGGCGCGACCCUCGGGGGGCCCGGUCUGGUCGCCCGCAGUAGAAACGGCAGGGUCCAUCAUGUGCACACCUCCAGUAAGAACGUGCUGAGAGCGAGACGCGGUGUUAUCAGAAUGCUGAUCGCCGUGGUGAUGAUGUUCGCCGUGUGUAACCUGCCUCAGCAGGUGCGCAUCGUGUGGCGGCACUGGGGCCCGAAUUACGACCGCACGUCGAACUUCAGCUCUCUGCUGACCGUGUCGACCUUCCUGGUCUCAUACAUGAACUCCUGCCUGAACCCGCUGCUGUAUGCCUUCCUGUCGCGCAACUUCCGCAAGGGGAUGCGCGAGCUCCUACACUGCAAGGGCGCCAGAGCGCACGGCAGCGGUCUGGCGAUGGCCUGCGCCGGUGGCGAUCAGACUCGCCACGAGAACGGUGUCAGCACGCAUUUGCCUCACAGCUCGGUGGUGCGGCUGAGCUCCGUUCAGGAUAGCCCGUGCACCACGCAAAUCACCCGGCAGAGCACCUACGGCCGGAACACCUAGUAAACUGUCGUCCUCGGCGCGAGCGGAUCGCGAGGCUCUCAUCCACAGAUCGUUCCAAAACGGGAGCCGGCGGAAGCCUUCUCGAGGAAACGAGCGAGCGGCAUUUUUGCAGAGUCUACUUCGAGGCGGCACGUUCAUCCCGAGAAGCCUGGUCAGGACGCUGUGUCGAGAAAUCAGUUUGUAACCUUUCGAAUCGAAUUGGACGACGAGUUCGCGAGAAACAUUGAUGAUUCUGGGACAGCCUGCGUAUAGACAACUCUGACGCCAAGCAUUAACGAGCUUGUCGUGAACGAGAGGCGGAUAGAGGAGAGGAAUCCGCAAUCGUCGCAUCCAAUUAUUAGCCGGAAAUUAUAUGCCCGAUAAACUACGCCAUUCCAGGUGUGAUCGAAGUAUAAUUACAGAUAAUUUCGAAGCGUGCUUCAGCGACCGGUUCCCUGAAGGAUUGGUGAAUCCUGGGACAUCAAUCAUUCGCGAGAGCUUCCCGCGGUUCAGAGGGGAAGCUGGAAAAAUAAGCCGGGGUGUUUUAUAACGUGGAACGUUCAAUAACUGUAUCAGCCUCGCGCCAUGAUCAUUGAGCAGAGGAGGAACUACGAGGAGGACUCUCGCGCAAGACAGGGGUGGCUGGUGGCUUCCCUUGAGGAAUGUCUGGGAAUCGCGAACGACCGAGGUAAGACGUCGCAAAUACGAUCGAGUCGGUACAAGAAGCACAAGUAAAACAUCUCGUGAUACUCCAUUCGCAUGUAGCGAGUGACGUUCUCCAAAGACUGGAAACCGAUUGCCACGAAACGCUGCCGUAAUGAGCUUCCGCGCGAUAUCCACUUCCCCGUAACUAGAAAUUUAUCCCAUAGUCCUUAUCAGGUUGAUCCCAACCAAUCGUCUGGUUUGCACAAGAUAAUGUAAUCAAACCCUGAUAAGCUCUGAUAAUUGUGCAACGUAGCAAUCAAUAUGCUAUUAACUAGCUUAAACUACUCGUGUUGCCCAAGUUAUCAGAAAAUGUCAAGGGAAAAUCAAGGGUAAUCCAGUUGUCAUAAUAGUUUAUAUCUUACGUAAGGUCUUAAAAACUCUACAUAACUAUACAAAUUUUGAUUCAGACCAGUCAAAGAAUUUGAAAGUUAAUAUAGGAAACAUUCUAUUUUGUAUAUAGAGACAAACGUUCUAUUUUAUAUAUAAAUAAGUAUUAUUAAUAAUUAGGACCUUUUAUUAAUACCGAAUAAAUUAUCAGUCUGUCAAAUGCACAAUCAAAUAUAGAUUAAAAAAAUCAAAUGGUAAUGACAUCUCUCACUUUUAUGCUAUUCUUGAAAUAUAAGUUGUCGUAAAUAUCGUAAUUUAAAAAGUAUCGGAAUUUAGCUGAUUUAUCGAAACGUGCAAUGUCCCAUUUCUUGGUACAUUUGCGGAUACAGCGUGUUUCGCAAUCUACAUCUUGCGUGAGUUCUUUUAACCUUUUUUAUUUAUUGAUUGACCUUAUUAAUAAUCAGGAUCCAAUAACAUCAGCUUGUAUAAACCAGAUAGUUGGUUGGGAUUAAUCUAAUUAGAAUGAAUUUUUAAUCGGAUCCGUUGAACUUGUACUGCGAAUAUUUCUGCUAACGAACACACUUCUGUAUUUUUCUUAUUUUCUACAAAUCCGUGAGAUGGAAUUUCAAUCUCUCUGCUUUGUCCUGCUCAAUUUAUUUUCCUUUCAAAUUUUAUCGUGGUACGACGAAAGAAUAUGUGUGUAUAUGUGUGUACGUGCGAGAUUUAACGAAUCGAAAUAGAUUGCGAGUUUCGCGCGUGUGCAAUGUAGAUUUAUUUAUCUAACAUGCGAUCCGCUCGUGUCAAUAACAAUAAAAACCAAACAAAAGAGAGAAAGAGAGAGACGAUUGUACUGGACGAUCAACAGUUUAAUUAUCGCUCGCGGCGCGACCGCGAAAAGUGUCUUCCGCGAUUUUGUCGUUUAUUAUCCCGGUAUCGUGCGAGUCCCUCGGUAACUCGAACGCAACUUGAUGAACGAGUCGAGUUUCUGGCGGCGCAAUUAUGAGAGGCGAGAUUAAUCGUUGUUCGAUCCGGUUAAAACGGGCUGGUGGCCUCUUCUCUGUUGUCGGCCGGUCGGAUAACGAUAUUAUUAGAAAUCAAGUGAGAGUGUUUCUAUUGUACCCGCGAAACUGGGUGGAAAAGUGGACGUUUCGUAGUCAGAGAGCGGAUAACUCCGUUAUCGAGCCGCGAAGACGAAGAAGCCGGCUCGAUCGGAGUUAUUUUCCAUGUUGAUAAGAGAUAAUUCGGUCCGCUGGGGGUACAGAGUCAAAUGAUUACCCGCCACUCGAUGACGCCUGUUGGUAUCUCGGCUCAGUGACGCACAAAGCAGUGGUGCGCCACUCUUAUUUCAGUUGACGCGCCACAACUCACGAAAACAAUACGCUCGAGAGAACUCGUGAAUCAAGAGAUGUUUGAUUAAUUUGUGCGCGACAGGCAUUUAAUUACGAAACACUCCCCCACCUAGAACUCACUGAUUACUGGCGAUUUCCUAUCGUCUAUUCCGUCCGUUUGCGAUCAGACGGCUCCCGCCGAGUCUUCGACGGUGACGCGCCGGCAAAUUUCGGCCACUCGAAUGCAAGUGGACAACAUCGAGAUAUCAGAGGACCAUUUACUUUUCUUGCAUAUUGAUCCUAUGUUACGGACACGUUUAUCUGUUCACGAUUUUCGCGACAGUCAAAACAUCGUUGUACGAUGUGUUCAUCGUCGUUUUAUUAAUCAAUAUACUAUAGCUAAUAUAUUAGGUUUGUCGCAAUUAGGACAGGAAAACAAUUUUUGAAUCUUAUCUCAUGAAAAGUUUUAAUAAGAAGAAAAUAAAGUAGUUUCUCUUAAUAUUAUGACAUUGACGUUCUUUGGUGACCAAUAAAAAUUCCAAAAUUAUAUAAAGGUCAUAUUUAUUUCAGUUACUGUCAGAUCGUAACAAUUGUUUUUAAGGAAUCAGUCGUGUCUCAUGUUACUAUCUUCUCCUCUAUUUUUGCCAGGAUCAUAUGAGGAUUUAAUUCGAUAAUUAUCAAGUAAACAGUCUAAGAGUGACACGAGCAUCUCACCACAGAUAGCAUCAUGAAAUACGGCUGAUUAUCUUAUUUAUCUGAUUACGAAUGAGAUUAAUAAGUGUUUUUUUAAGGACCUACUAGAAUCAAUGAAAUAUAAAGAAACAAGAGAUAAAAAGUAGUGAAAUGAAAUGAAAAAUAAUGAAGUAACGAGAGGAGUUAUAAAAAACAAUGGCGCAAAAGUUAUCUUAGAGAGAGCUGACUACGUUAGUCCAUUAAUUCAUUUUUAGAAUUUUGCUCUUUAAUUCACGAGAAAGAAAAAAAGAG
This is an RNA transcript of Odontomachus brunneus, 5104 nucleotides long. It is a transcript of the gene named trissin receptor, with no coding region annotated. The record is from RefSeq and is a predicted model, not a curated record. The transcript has 8 exons. NCBI's taxonomy places the organism in Eukaryota, Metazoa, Arthropoda, Insecta, Hymenoptera, Formicidae.